RNAcentral lists this ribosomal RNA (380 nucleotides) under marine Metazoa environmental sample. RNAcentral's name for it is "SSU rRNA". It matches the Rfam family "Eukaryotic small subunit ribosomal RNA", at positions 587 to 972 of the family's 1831-position model. Lineage: Eukaryota; Metazoa. The record is from RNAcentral.
AGCUCCAAUAGCGUAUAUUAAAGUUGUUGCAGUUAAAAAGCUCGUAGUUGGAUUUCGGCUUGAGCCGAUUGGUCCCUCCUCUGGACGGCGUACUGAUCGGUUUUAGCUUCUUCGCGAAGGCCGCGUGUGCCCUUAACUGGGUGGGCGUGGGAUUCGCGACGUUUACUUUGAAAAAAUUAGAGUGUUCAAAGCAGGCAUUCGCUUGAAUAUCUCAGCAUGGAAUAAUAGAAUAGGACUUUGGUCUUAUUUUGUUGGUUUCCGAGACCGAAGUAAUGAUUAAUAGGGACAGUUGGGGGCAUUCGUAUUUCAUUGUCAGAGGUGAAAUUCUUGGAUUUAUGAAAGACGAACUUCUGCGAAAGCAUUUGCCAAGGAUGUUUUCA